UACGGAGGGUGCAAGCGUUGUCCGGAUUUAUUGGGUUUAAAGGGUGCGUAGGCGGCUUUGUAAGUCAGUGGUGAAAUAUGGCAGCUCAACUGUCAAGGUGCCAUUGAUACUGCGGAGCUUGAGUACAGAUGAGGUAGGCGGAAUUGACGGUGUAGCGGUGAAAUGCUUAGAUAUCGUCAAGAACACCUAUAGCGAAGGCAGCUUACUAGGCUGUAACUGACGCUGAGGCACGAAAGUGUGGGGAUCAAACAGG
RNAcentral lists this ribosomal RNA (253 nucleotides) under uncultured bacterium. Its description in RNAcentral is "partial 16S ribosomal RNA". It matches the Rfam family "Bacterial small subunit ribosomal RNA", at positions 524 to 776 of the family's 1533-position model. The record is from RNAcentral.